This 433-nucleotide ribosomal RNA is filed under the name uncultured bacterium. RNAcentral describes it as "partial 16S ribosomal RNA". It matches the Rfam family "Bacterial small subunit ribosomal RNA", at positions 29 to 507 of the family's 1533-position model. The record is from RNAcentral.
AACGAACGCUGGCGGCAUGCCUAACACAUGCAAGUCGAACGAGACCUUCGGGUCUAGUGGCGCACGGGUGCGUAACGCGUGGGAACCUGCCCUUAGGUUCGGAAUAACUCCCCGAAAGGGGUGCUAAUACCGGAUAAUGUCUUCGGACCAAAGAUUUAUCGCCGUUGGAUGGGCCCGCGUUGGAUUAGCUAGUUGGUAGGGUAAAAGCCUACCAAGGCGACGAUCCAUAGCUGGUCUGAGAGGAUGAUCAGCCACACUGGGACUGAGACACGGCCCAGACUCCUGCGGGAGGCAGCAGUGGGGAAUAUUGGACAAUGGGCGAAAGCCUGAUCCAGCAAUGCCGCGUGAGUGAUGAAGGCCUUAGGGUUGUAAAGCUCUUUUACCCGGGAUGAUAAUGACAGUACCGGGAGAAUAAGCUCCGGCUAACUCCGUG